GCGCUGGUAGUCCAGUCUGGUUAAGACGCAGAACAUAGCCGGCUGAAACGCGGGUUCAAAUCCCGCCCAGCGCA
Molecule: transfer RNA, 74 nt
Rfam family: tRNA
About the family: Transfer RNA (tRNA) molecules are approximately 80 nucleotides in length. Their secondary structure includes four short double-helical elements and three loops (D, anti-codon, and T loops).